This 253-nucleotide ribosomal RNA is filed under the name uncultured bacterium. Its description in RNAcentral is "partial 16S ribosomal RNA". It matches the Rfam family "Bacterial small subunit ribosomal RNA", at positions 524 to 776 of the family's 1533-position model. The record is from RNAcentral.
UACGUAGGGUGCAAGCGUUGUCCGGAAUUAUUGGGCGUAAAGAGCUCGUAGGCGGUCUGUCGCGUCGAAUGUGAAAACCCGGGGCUCAACCCCGGGCCUGCAUUCGAUACGGGCAGACUAGAGUUCGGUAGGGGAGUCUGGAAUUCCUGGUGUAGCGGUGAAAUGCGCAGAUAUCAGGAGGAAUACCGGUGGCGAAGGCGGGUCUCUGGGCCGAUACUGACGCUGAGGAGCGAAAGCGUGGGGAGCAAACGGG